UUAGACAUGGUGUGGUGGGAACACAGCCUCUUCUCGUGGAAGAUCAUAGUUAUGGUUUCCGAGGCAGUCCAGGGUUCGAACCCCUGUGUCUGAA
Mycena vulgaris is the source of this 94-nucleotide non-coding RNA. Lineage: Eukaryota; Fungi; Basidiomycota; Agaricomycetes; Agaricales; Mycenaceae. The record is from the annotation of a GenBank genome assembly.